RNAcentral lists this ribosomal RNA (330 nucleotides) under uncultured bacterium. Its description in RNAcentral is "bacterial SSU rRNA". It matches the Rfam family "Bacterial small subunit ribosomal RNA", at positions 568 to 898 of the family's 1533-position model. The record is from RNAcentral.
CGUGUAGGCGGCUCAUCAAGUCUGGUGUGAAAACGCAAGGCCUAACCUUGCAUAGGCGCUGGAAACUGGUGGGCUUGAGUUCCUGAGGGGAAGCUGGAAUUCCAGGUGUAGGGGUGAAAUCUGUAGAUAUCUGGAAGAACACCGGUGGCGAAGGCGAGCUUCUAUCAGAGGACUGACGCUGAGGCGCGAAAGCGUGGGGAGCAAACAGGAUUAGAUACCCUGGUAGUCCACGCUGUAAACGAUGUGCACUAGGCGUGGGGCACGUACGUGUUCUGUGCCGUAGUUAACGUGUUAAGUGCACCGCCUGGGGAGUAUGCUCGCAAGGGUGAA